AGCAGCCGCGGUAAUUCCAGCUCCAAUAGCGUAUAUUAAAGUUGUUGCAGUUAAAAAGCUCGUAGUUGAAUUUCGGGAUCAAUAUAUCGGUCGUGCCUUGGUACGUACUGGUAUCAUUGGUUUCUCCUUUCUGACGAACCAUGAUGUCAUUAAUUUGGUGUUAUGGGAAGUUAGGACUGUUACUUUGAAAAAUUAGAGUGUUUAAAGCAGGCUUUGGCUUGAAUACAUUAGCAUGGAAUAAUGAAAUAGGACGUUCGAACCUAUUUUGUUGGUUUCUAGGAUCAACGUAAUGAUUAAUAGGGAUAGUUGGGGGCAUUAGUAUUCAAUUGUCAGAGGUGAAAUUCUUGGAUUUAUUGAAGACUAACUACUGCGAAAGCAUUUGCCAAGGAUGUUUUCAUUAAUCAAGAACGAAAGUUAGGGGAUCGAAGACGAUCAGAUACCGUCGUAGUCUUAACCAUAAACUAUGCCGACUAGGGAUCGGAUGAUGUUAAUUUUUUAAUGACUCAUUCGGCGCCUUAUA
Molecule: unclassified non-coding RNA, 520 nt
Filed under: uncultured Glomus
Lineage: Eukaryota; Fungi; Glomeromycota; Glomeromycetes; Glomerales; Glomeraceae
Description: SSU rRNA
Rfam family: Eukaryotic small subunit ribosomal RNA
Source: RNAcentral